GAGUUUGAUUAUGGCUCAGGAUGAACGCUAGCGAUAGGCUUAACACAUGCAAGUCGAGGGGCAGCGAGGGUAGCAAUACCUGUCGGCGACCGGCGCACGGGUGAGUAACGCGUAUGUAACCUGCCCGCAACAGGGGGAUAACCCGGCGAAAGUCGGACUAAUACCGCAUAAAACAGGGGUCCCGCAUGGGAAUAUUUGUUAAAGAUUUAUCGGUUGCGGAUGGGCAUGCGUACCAUUAGGUAGUUGGUGAGGUAACGGCUCACCAAGCCUUCGAUGGUUAGGGGUUCUGAGAGGAAGGUCCCCACACUGGUACUGAGACACGGACCAGACUCCUACGGGAGGCAGCAGUGAGGAAUAUUGGUCAAUGGGCGAGAGCCUGAACCAGCCAAGUCGCGUGAAGGAUGACUGCCCUAUGGGUUGUAAACUUCUUUUACAAGGGAAUAAAAUGAGAUACGUGUAUUUUAUU
RNAcentral lists this ribosomal RNA (466 nucleotides) under Tannerella forsythia. RNAcentral describes it as "bacterial SSU rRNA". It matches the Rfam family "Bacterial small subunit ribosomal RNA", at positions 9 to 470 of the family's 1533-position model. Lineage: Bacteria; Pseudomonadati; Bacteroidota; Bacteroidia; Bacteroidales; Tannerellaceae. The record is from RNAcentral.